This 159-nucleotide ribosomal RNA is filed under the name Phomopsis sp. CLF-F. RNAcentral's name for it is "5.8S rRNA". It matches the Rfam family "5.8S ribosomal RNA". From Rfam's summary of the family: 5.8S ribosomal RNA (5.8S rRNA) is a component of the large subunit of the eukaryotic ribosome. Lineage: Eukaryota; Fungi; Ascomycota; Sordariomycetes; Diaporthales; Diaporthaceae. The record is from RNAcentral.
CAAAACUUUCAACAACGGAUCUCUUGGUUCUGGCAUCGAUGAAGAACGCAGCGAAAUGCGAUAAGUAAUGUGAAUUGCAGAAUUCAGUGAAUCAUCGAAUCUUUGAACGCACAUUGCGCCCCCUGGUAUUCCGGAGGGCAUGCCUGUUCGAGCGUCAUU